UACAGAGGGCUCAAGCGUUGUUCGGAUUCAUUGGGCGUAAAGGGCGCGUAGGCGGCGGGGUAAGUCGGGUGUGAAAUCUCAGAGCUCAACUCUGAAACUGCACUCGAUACUGCUUUGCUUGAGGACUGGAGAGGAGACUGGAAUUUACGGUGUAGCGGUGAAAUGCGUAGAUAUCGUAAGGAAGACCAGUGGCGAAGGCGGGUCUCUGGACAGUUCCUGACGCUGAGGCACGAAGGCCAGGGGAGCAAACGGG
Molecule: ribosomal RNA, 253 nt
Filed under: uncultured bacterium
Lineage: Bacteria
Description: partial 16S ribosomal RNA
Rfam family: Bacterial small subunit ribosomal RNA
Source: RNAcentral